This 275-nucleotide ribosomal RNA is filed under the name uncultured Rubrobacter sp. Its description in RNAcentral is "partial 16S ribosomal RNA". It matches the Rfam family "Bacterial small subunit ribosomal RNA", at positions 338 to 606 of the family's 1533-position model. Lineage: Bacteria; Bacillati; Actinomycetota; Rubrobacteria; Rubrobacterales; Rubrobacteraceae. The record is from RNAcentral.
CCUACGGGUGGCUGCAGCCAGGAAUCUUGGGCAAUGGGCGCAAGCCUGACCCAGCAACACCGUGUGGGCGAUGAAGGCUCUAGGGUCGUAAAGCCCUGUUGAUAGGGACGAAGGGCGAAGGGUUAAUAGCCCCUAGCUUGACGGUACCUUUCGAGGAAGCCCCGGCUAACUACGUGCCAGCAGCCGCGGUAAUACGUAGGGGGCGAGCGUUGUCCGGAAUUAUUGGGCGUAAAGAGCGUGUAGGCGGUUCGGUAAGUCUGCCGUGAAAACCUGGG